ACGGAAGGCAGCAGUGAGGAAUAUUGGUCAAUGGGCGGAAGCCUGAACCAGCCAAGUCGCGUGAGGGAAGACGGCCCUACGGGUUGUAAACCUCUUCUGCGCGGGGGUAAAGUCGGGGACGUGUCCCCGGUUGCAAGUACCGCGCGAAAAAGGAUUGGCUAACUCCGUGCCAGCAGCCGCGGUAAUACGGAGGAUCCGAGUGUUAUCCGGAUUUAUUGGGUUUAAAGGGUGCGCAGGCGGGAUGUCAAGUCAGUGGUGAAAUGGUGCGGCUCAACCGUAGCAUUGCCGUUGAAACUGGCGUCCUUGAGUGCGAGUGAGGUACGCGGAACGUUUCAUGUAGCGGUGAAAUGCAUAGAUAUGACACAGAACACCGAUUGCGAAGGCAGCGUACUGGGACGCGACUGACGCUGAGGCACGAAAGUGCGGGGAUCGAACAGGAUUAGAUACCCUGGUA
This 454-nucleotide ribosomal RNA is filed under the name uncultured Paludibacter sp. RNAcentral's name for it is "partial 16S ribosomal RNA". It matches the Rfam family "Bacterial small subunit ribosomal RNA", at positions 341 to 792 of the family's 1533-position model. The record is from RNAcentral. Lineage: Bacteria; Pseudomonadati; Bacteroidota; Bacteroidia; Bacteroidales; Paludibacteraceae.